RNAcentral lists this ribosomal RNA (476 nucleotides) under uncultured bacterium. RNAcentral describes it as "bacterial SSU rRNA". It matches the Rfam family "Bacterial small subunit ribosomal RNA", at positions 40 to 507 of the family's 1533-position model. The record is from RNAcentral.
CGGCGUGCCUAACACAUGCAAGUCGAACGGAGAUGCGAUGUGAGCGAGAGGUGCUUGCACUGAUUAAUCUUUUCGUAUCUUAGUGGCGGACGGGUGAGUAACGCGUGGGUAACCUGCCUUAUACCGGGGGAUAACAGCCAGAAAUGGCUGCUAAUACCGCAUAAGCGCACAGAACCGCAUGGUUCCGUGUGAAAAACUCCGGUGGUAUAAGAUGGACCCGCGUCUGAUUAGCUAGUUGGUGAGGUAACGGCCCACCAAGGCGACGAUCAGUAGCCGGCCUGAGAGGGUGAACGGCCACAUUGGGACUGAGACACGGCCCAAACUCCUACGGGAGGCAGCAGUGGGGAAUAUUGCACAAUGGGGGAAACCCUGAUGCAGCGACGCCGCGUGAGUGAUGAAGUAUUUCGGUAUGUAAAACUCUAUCAGCAGGGAAGAUAAUGACGGUACCUGACUAAGAAGCACCGGCUAAAUACGUG